This 254-nucleotide ribosomal RNA is filed under the name uncultured bacterium. RNAcentral's name for it is "partial 16S ribosomal RNA". It matches the Rfam family "Bacterial small subunit ribosomal RNA", at positions 524 to 777 of the family's 1533-position model. The record is from RNAcentral.
UACGGAGGGAGCUAGCGUUAUUCGGAAUUACUGGGCGUAAAGCGCACGUAGGCGGCUUUGUAAGUAAGAGGUGAAAGCCCAGAGCUCAACUCUGGAAUUGCCUUUUAGACUGCAUCGCUUGAAUCAUGGAGAGGUCAGUGGAAUUCCGAGUGUAGAGGUGAAAUUCGUAGAUAUUCGGAAGAACACCAGUGGCGAAGGCGACUUACUGGACACAUAUUGACGCUGAGGUGCGAAAGCGUGGGGAGCAAACAGGG